CACAGCGCACGCUGCUAUCCAGUGCCAUCCAACCGACAAGCAGGCUCAUAAACAUGACGCUGUGCCCCGGCCCACCUUACUCACCAGUCCUGGGGGAUUUGUGGCUCUUCCAGGUGUGGUAGUGCAUGCCUGGAAUUCCAGCCCUGGGGAGGCUGAAGCAGGAGGAUCACUGGAAGUUUGAGGCCAGCCUGGGCUACAAAGUGAGUUCAAGGCCAGUCUGAACUGCAUAGUGAAACCCUGUAUCUAAGAAAGAAAGAAAGAAAGAAAGAUUUGGGUGGAUUCUGGGCCCAGGGAUGCUGCCUAGAGCCCCUUCCUCUCAGUGUCCCCAUCAGGGUAUCCGCUUCUCCUCAGCAUCGGGGAGCUGUGUGCUGUUUCCUCACUGAGGGGCUUGUCCUGAGGCCACCGCGGCUUGUCUUCCUGCCAGGUACAAACUAGUGGAGCUCCUAUGCUACGUGGUGGUGGGCUUUUUCCCGGCCCUGGUCGUCCUCUCCAUGGCCAGUUUUGUUUGGAUAUGGUCUUACUCUCCGCAUGACCAGCCACCGAUCUCCUUCACCUUUCGUGAAAUUCACAUGCACAAGCGGCUCUCAUCACGCAGCCUGGCUGUGCUCUGCUCUGCUGGGGAAUCCGGGCCGGGACCUCGCCUGCGCGAGGUGAGCGCUGUGCUGUGGAGCUGCGGCCCCAGCCUUGGCCUAUUCUUGUGCAAGGCUGCAGCUGUUUCCCGACGUGGCCUCACUGCACGUUGGUCUUUGGCAGUGCACUCUGGUCCCGCCUUUCUCCCCUGUCACUUCCCGCUGUCCCUUUGGACUUGUAUUUAUGCUCCAGAUUGUCUUUCUCCCUCCAAGUUACUUUUAGGUAAGCGUAUGUGUUAUAGCUAUCAAGUUGGAAGACAUUCAUCAUAUCAUGUAUGAAAUGUUUACACACACAUAUGUACGUAUAAUAAAUGUAUAUUUAAUCAUA
Cavia porcellus (domestic guinea pig) is the source of this 957-nucleotide long non-coding RNA. RefSeq lists it as uncharacterized. Lineage: Eukaryota; Metazoa; Chordata; Mammalia; Rodentia; Caviidae. The transcript is spliced from 2 exons. The record is from RefSeq and is a predicted model, not a curated record.